This 467-nucleotide ribosomal RNA is filed under the name uncultured bacterium. Its description in RNAcentral is "partial 16S ribosomal RNA". It matches the Rfam family "Bacterial small subunit ribosomal RNA", at positions 28 to 507 of the family's 1533-position model. The record is from RNAcentral.
GACGAACGCUGGCGGCGUGCUUAACACAUGCAAGUCGAACGGAAAGGCCCUGCUUUUGUGGGGUGCUCGAGUGGCGAACGGGUGAGUAACACGUGAGUAACCUGCCCUUGACUUGGGAUAACUUCAGGAAACUGGGGCUAAUACCGGAUAGGAGCUCCUGCUGCAUGGUGGGGGUUGGAAAGUUUCGGCGGUUGGGGAUGGACUCGCGGCUUAUCAGCUUGUUGGUGGGGUAGUGGCUUACCAAGGCUUUGACGGGUAGCCGGCCUAAGAGGGUGACCGGCCACAUUGGGACUGAGAUACGGCCCAGACUCCUACGGGAGGCAGCAGUGGGGAAUAUUGCACAAUGGGCGGAAGCCUGAUGCAGCAACGCCGCGUGCGGGAUGACGGCCUUCGGGUUGUAAACCGCUUUCGCCUGUGACGAAGCGUGAGUGACGGUAAUGGGUAAAGAAGCACCGGCUAACUACGUG